AUCCAGCUGUGGAGUCCGGAAAGGGACGAAACGAGCGUCCUGUAU
This 45-nucleotide non-coding RNA is filed under the name Schistosoma mansoni. The record is from RNAcentral. Lineage: Eukaryota; Metazoa; Platyhelminthes; Trematoda; Strigeidida; Schistosomatidae.